AAUACACACACAGACACAUGCUGCCUGCAUAUUCAUCCAUAAUUAAAAAAUCUAAAAUUAUAAUUUGUUUUUGAAGGAGACAAAGCAGCAGCUCCCACAGUACACUGGUAACCGUUGAGCGGGAGCCCAGCCGUCACGAUGGUUUUGUGAACUCUGCCGGAGAUCACAGUCCCACACGGACAGCUGCAGCUACAAAGCACCCCAGUGACCUAGAUUCAUCUGUAGAUUACUGUCUGCUUUGGCCUGUGCCUCCCAGAGCUGCACCAGGAGUCUGAUUUUGUUGCACAAGCUAACUUGCUUACUGCUCUGACCCAUUUUACCAUAGCAACCUGGUUUGCUGUACUAGAGGCUAGAAAAAGCACGCAGGCAACUUUUUAAGGAUUCCAAGAUUAAGUUCACUCUCUGCUCUUUUUUUCUUCUCCCCCCACCCCCCACCCUAUGCCCUGAAUGUGCUUAGCAGACAUGACGAAGAUGAACUGACAGUUUCCAACAGCACUGGAAGCCAGGAAAAGAUUUAGGCAAGCUCUCCUACAAGGUUUCUUAUUCAGCCGAUGACCAACACCUUGAACUGCAUCUGAAGCUGGUGGUCAGAGCAAGCCGUCUGACACCUCUUGUGAAAACAACCACUAAGUAUAUGGACAGAAGAACAAAUCAGCACAAAUUAAGGAACAGUGUGCAUCUGCAAGGUCAUAGAUACACCAUGAACACUUCUUGUGUGCCUGCCUUUAAUACAAACUGAAUGGGAAUCCAUCCAUCAGUCCUGUGAAUGCAGCUCUCCUCGCCAAUAUGUUGCAAAAUCAUAUCUGGGCUUACCUCAGGGUAAAGUGUUGUCCUAUAUCUUCAGAAUGCAAUGAGACCUUGAAUCCUGUGUAAAUGCUUUUUCUAAGAUGUUUCAAAAUGUAACUGCAAGCAGAUCAUACAUGAGCAAACCACUCUGGAGAGCGGAGAGAGGCAAAGAUGAAAGCAACCGUGGUCUAUUAAAUUCAUGAAGUUGCAUACUUCAUGAAAGAUUAAAAAUAAAUAAAUAAAUCAUAGAAUCA
RNAcentral lists this long non-coding RNA (1040 nucleotides) under Anser brachyrhynchus (Pink-footed goose). Its description in RNAcentral is "lncRNA (ENSABRG00000000595.1)". Lineage: Eukaryota; Metazoa; Chordata; Aves; Anseriformes; Anatidae. The record is from RNAcentral.